Zophobas morio is the source of this 171-nucleotide long non-coding RNA. RefSeq lists it as uncharacterized. The transcript is spliced from 3 exons. The record is from RefSeq and is a predicted model, not a curated record. Lineage: Eukaryota; Metazoa; Arthropoda; Insecta; Coleoptera; Tenebrionidae.
UCGAACAUGAACUUUGCAGCUCCAGAAUUGUGUCAUCAAAAGAUUUAGGAACUAAUCACUCAGUGCGUAGCUAAGCACAGACGUGUCGAUCCUGUGAAUGAAACAAUGAUCAACUUUGAAAAUGGUAAGCUGACGUAUUCUGCAUCUUAAUAUUGCUUUAUUAUGGAAAGA